Molecule: ribosomal RNA, 237 nt
Filed under: Triticum aestivum (bread wheat)
Lineage: Eukaryota; Viridiplantae; Streptophyta; Magnoliopsida; Poales; Poaceae
Description: partial small subunit ribosomal RNA
Source: RNAcentral
AUGCCGCCGUGCCCGCCACUAGCUGUAUCCGCGUCGAGCAACACCAGCAACAACUGCUGGGUGUACGUGACGACGUCUAUGCACACAUACUUCCAAGUGAACACGCGAUAUAUACAGCACAACAGUAUAAGUAGAGCCCUCGAAAAAGAAAACAGUAUAUGUAGACGGGGUAUGACUGAUAAUAUCGAUAUAGGUUAUUCUACAAGAUUACUCUAUAGAUCCAUCAGCUCUAAGUAA